GGCAAGAUGGCCGAGCGGUCUAAGGCGCUAGGGUCAGGUACCUGAUCUCACAUAUUCAUCCGAAUAUUCCUAGUCUCGAAAGGGGCGUGGGUUCGAAUCCCACUCUUGUCA
Molecule: transfer RNA, 111 nt
Filed under: Aspergillus steynii IBT 23096
Lineage: Eukaryota; Fungi; Ascomycota; Eurotiomycetes; Eurotiales; Aspergillaceae
Rfam family: tRNA
About the family: Transfer RNA (tRNA) molecules are approximately 80 nucleotides in length. Their secondary structure includes four short double-helical elements and three loops (D, anti-codon, and T loops). Further hydrogen bonds mediate the characteristic L-shaped molecular structure. tRNAs have two regions of fundamental functional importance: the anti-codon, which is responsible for specific mRNA codon recognition, and the 3' end, to which the tRNAs corresponding amino acid is attached (by aminoacyl-tRNA synthetases). tRNAs cope with the degeneracy of the genetic code in two manners: having more than one tRNA (with a specific anti-codon) for a particular amino acid; and 'wobble' base-pairing, i.e. permitting non-standard base-pairing at the 3rd anti-codon position.
Source: Rfam by way of RNAcentral